This 1072-nucleotide unclassified non-coding RNA is filed under the name Hevea brasiliensis (rubber tree). Lineage: Eukaryota; Viridiplantae; Streptophyta; Magnoliopsida; Malpighiales; Euphorbiaceae. The record is from RNAcentral.
UCAUCAUCAUCAUCAUCAUCAUCACCAUCUUCUUUGUUCUUCUUGAGGCGGGUUGUACCACCCUCCUUACUAAUGGGCAACUUCAUUGCUCCAAAAGGUGUAUCCACAUUAAUAUGUCCUUUCAUAGUGUAACCAGUGCCUUUUCCUCUAAUCAUGUCCCAAAGUGCAGAGCCAAAGUCCUUAGGCCUGAAGGUGAUGGGAAUAUCAAUGUAACUAAUUCCAUUUUUGUCAAUUUUGGUAGAUUUGGCUAGUUCUGCACCCCCAAUGCUUACAUCAGAUAGCCAAACUUCAUAGUCUAAUCCAUUAAGGCCCAAGUCAAAAUCAUUCUUGUUUUCUAACUUCAAAUGAAGCACAGCAACAGUUUCUUCAAAGGAAAACCUCUCAAAGUGUAUUUUCUCAAGAUCAAUAUCAGGCUUGUAAGGUAUCGGAAUCUCUCCAGUUUUCUCAAGAGGUAGAGUUAGCCUUCCAAAGACCGGAACAUCUACAAUGAGAUCAACCUUAAUCCUGUAUGGAAUGAUACUUCCAGGCUUAAUAUCAUUGUAUGUGCUUCUUAUAUCGUCAUAAAUCAAAGUAACUGGUAUUUUGACAGUCUCCUCGCCAUGUGCAUGAAUAGUUCCAGCAUCUGGUAUUAAGCCUGAAACAAGUUUCCGUCCAUCACUCUCAAUUAAGUAGUUGAUGUCAAUGAGAGGGAUUGGAAUAGGAUUGGGGUUCUUAACAAGCACAUCAACAACAAGAUCUGCCUUCUCUAGAUUGAUUGAAGGGAUAUGAAUCCCUGUAACAUCUGCAGUUGGCUUGCCAAAACCAAUAGCUCCCUCAAUCUUUUCACCAAUGUCAUGAAUGAAGUCCUUUACCUUGUCGAUAAAUCCACCCUUAUCCUCAUCCUCGUUGUGAUCUUUCUCCUUGACAUCUCUAUCAAUGACUUCUGGCUUAUCAGAAGAUGCCAUAUCUGAGAAGCUUGAGCGAUGGAAGCAGCUGAUCUUGGUAGAGAGUGUAGCGUGUGAAAAGGAGAGGAGAGAAACAGCAGUACCCUUUUUGGAGCCGGGAGUAUCCAAGGAAGACACAUUUGAGAGAC